Long non-coding RNA from Haliotis rufescens (red abalone), 319 nucleotides. RefSeq lists it as uncharacterized. The transcript has 3 exons. The record is from RefSeq and is a predicted model, not a curated record. NCBI's taxonomy places the organism in Eukaryota, Metazoa, Mollusca, Gastropoda, Lepetellida, Haliotidae.
CCUCACUGCUGAGAUACACCGAAUAAAGACUGGCCAAUAAUACAUGCUUCUCCAAGUUAUUUCAGGGAUUUCUCUUUUACGAUUCGUUGUCAGAAGUGACAAGAUCAAAGUGGGAGUUUGCGGUCACACUACCCGCAGAGCACUUGGUAUCGUCACAGGCAUGCUUAUGAUAUAGCCGGAAUUCUGCAAAGGCCUUCUUAUGAUUAUGAAAAGGGUUUUGCCGCUUAUAUUUUCAUUUAGAGGAAUUUAUUGUUUUGUGUUCAUGGCUGUCAUAAUGAUAGACCGAUUGUAGAAGACUUUCUUCGUCAUAAAGUUAUCA